CAUUAUCUUUUGGAUUUGUUUUCUUUUUCUAGCAAUAACAGAGAAAAUAAAGAUAAUGUUUUCUUUUUCUAGCAAUAACAGAGGAAAGAAAUAUUUCAAGCAUUAGAUUGUAAACUUUUGUGAAUUCUAUGCAGAAAAAAUAUCGGACGGUAGCAAUGGAGACAUAGCUCUGGACUUUAUCAUCGUUACAAGGUACUAAUUAUUGAUUUGGUUAAAAGGAAAUAAGAUGAAGAAAUACUUUAUCUUAAUAAAACAAUAAAAACAAAAACUAGUAGUAGUAUACAAAUAUUACUGCCCAUCGUAUGCAGGAGGACGUCAAACUAGCAAAAUCCGAAGGACUGGACGCUUUCAGGUUUUCUAUCGCAUGGGCAAGAAUUUUACCUCAGGGCAAGCUAAGUAAAGGAGUAAAUCAAGUUGGUAUUGACUACUACAACAAUCUCAUCAAUGAGAUAAUAGCCCGUGGUAAUACUUUAGAGUCCGGAGCCAAAAUGGGUUAUUUUUGCAGCCAUUAGCCCAAAAUAGGAUGAUUACCUAGAUUUUGUGGAGAUUUGUUUCAAAUAUUUUGGAGAGAGAGUGAAGCUCUGGACAACCAUGAAUGAGCCAUGGAUAUUUGCAUCAAAUGGUUAUGAUGCCGGUUCGAUGACGCCUGGCCGGUGUUCUGCCUGGAGGAACAAUAACUGCUCCGCCGGAAACUCUGCAACUGAGCCUUAUAUAGUCGGGCACAAUAUGCUUCUUGCUCAUGGAGCUGCUGCCAAACUAUACAGACAAAAAUACAAGGUGUGGUUGCAGAAAAUGCAUGAUUUGCAUGCUGAAAAUUUUCCAGAAAACCGACUCUGUCCGUCGAUUUUUUGGAAAUUAAUUUUGCAGAUUUUCCAGAAAACCGACUCUGUCCGUCGGUUUUCUGGAAAUUAAUUUUGCAAAUUUUCCAGAAACCUGUUACACCUCGGAAAUUUUUCCGUACUUGUGUGAUGAGUAGAACAAUGAAGGACUUGAGUGUAUGGUGUUUUACUAAGUCGAGAAUGGCUAAUUUUGCAUUUUUGGAAAUAAUAAAGUUGCAGAAAAUUUUUCACCCAGUGGUCGUAUAUGACACUAUACGGCCCGUAAAGUGAUUUACGGACCGUAUAGUGCAAUCGUCUUUCAUUGCGUCAAAAAUCUCAAGUUUCUGUUAAGUGUUGAAAUGGUUAAAGACGACCCAGAAUACGGCCCGUAAACCAGGUCGUAAACCACCAGGUCCCUCAGCCAAGACUUUCUCUAAAUGUUGAAUAUGGUUAAAUACGAUCCAGUUUACGGCCCGUAAACUGGUUUACGGACCGUAAACCAGGUCGUAAACUGCCAUGUCCACCAGCCAAACUCUCUGUUUUUGGAAUGCUUAAAUACGACCACAGUGGACGACCCGUAAAUCAAAAUAUGGUCCGUAAAUUGCAGUUUACGACCACUGUUCACCCGACGAGAAUUCAUUAAACAUCAGCUUUUGAGUUAUUAAAAGGGACUUAGGCCUCAUUUUAUUUCAUUCUUCAUUUAUACAACUCAAGAACACUCUAGAACUCUCCAAUUACUUCCUCCAUAAGAAUCCAAGAGAAUCAAGGGAAAGCUAAAGAUCAACAACACAAAACCUAUGAAAUCAAGUGCAAGAACACAUCAACGGAUCAUCUAAGUCAAGUAAUUCCCAAGAAGGUGAACUAGGGUUUUGUUUAAGUGAAGAAUUUCAACUCAAGGGUUGUUCAACCACUAUCCAAGGUAAGUUUCAUGAUCAUUCUAUGUUGUUUGAAGUAUUGAAAAGCUUAGACACCUGAAAUGUAGAAGAACAUAGAAAUGGACCAUUACUGGGUGAAUAGUGCCAUAAAUGAAUGAUAGUGGGAUUGAAUUAUGAAUGUUGAAGUGUUGUGAAUACAAAUACGUUGUAAAUGAUGCUUAUAUCAUGAAACAAGCAUUAAACGCAUGAAAAUGCAAGGACGAGUCAUAAGGCUAAUUAUGAGGGAAAUUGGAGGAAAAUGGUGGAUUUUGCUAAAUGUACGUAAACGACGAUUGUUGAUUUCGGUAUUGUGAGUAAUGCUAUGAAUGUUGGGAGUUAAUAUAAAACAUGGAAAAAAAAUAGUAUAAACAAGAGAAGCGCUGUCCGACUUCUCCUAGAAUUAGCGACGCGUUCUUGUAGUUAGUAUGCUAAUGUUGAUAUGAAUUCUUUAUGAAGGUAACGACGCGAUAUUGAAGGAGAACGAGUGAGCGAUAUCUUAGCUAAACGACCAAGGUACGUGAGGCUAGUCCCUUCUUCCUGAUGGCACGAAUCUUGUAGCACGAAAUUCCUAUUCUCUUCAUGAGUUCUUAUAGUCCGAAAGGCUAAGAGUCUAACUCCUUAAUGUCUAUAUAAGAUGAGGAGUACGAUAUGAUGUUGCUAGUAUAAUGAUGAUGUUAAUUAUCGCUUACACUCACCUUAUGUACUAGUUCCUUCAAGGUGAGGCAGAGUAUCAAUAGUUGUUCCAUAAUGGAAUCGGGGGAUCACGACCUUACGUCACCCCGAUAGAAUAAAGUUGAUCUUGAUCCUUAUGCAUGUAUUACAAUGAGAUAAGUAUUUUAUGAGGAGUAUAUUAUUAUUAUGAUCAUUUUAUGAUAAGCAUGACAUGAGCAUUUCACACCGUGCCUAGUUGGCCGGGCAGUCACCGCCAAGGCGGGCAGCUAUACGGAUACACCAUGACCUUCGGGCAUGGGCAGACACCACUAGUGGGCGGCAUGAGAUGGUACCCCGGACGCGGGAGGCCUGGAAGCGGGCUAAUAUUAUUGAUUAUCACACCGUUCUGACAUGGACGGGCAGCUUGCAUAUGAUGCAUAUAUGUUAUGAGGAUGAGUAUGAGUAAGAUGGCACGCAGGAUUUCCUUUAUGAUUAUCAGACAGAUCCAGAUAUUUCACGUUGAUGUUAUCACUAUGUUGUUGAUGUUUUCUUUCAUUGUUUAUGCUUCUCAUACUCAGUACAACAUUCGUACUGACGUCCUUUCUUCGGACGCUGUGUUCAUGCCCACAGGUAGACAGAGAGGAGAGCUUGGCCCAGAUCCUCAGUAGCAGUCAGCUGGUUGAAAGCACUACAUUGUCUGGAGGUGCUUAGGAUUAUCCUUUUGGUAUAUAUGUAUAUUUUGGGCACGACGGAGUCUUGUUCCGUCCAUGUAUAUACAGUAUGUUAGUAGAGGCUCGUAGAUACGCAGUGUGGGUUAGAUGGUCUCACAAGACGUUUUCAUAUGCAUGUAUAUUAUUUUGAUGGACGAAAGGCAAUUGUAUAUAAAGUAUUUAUGUUUGUUUAA
Lycium barbarum (goji berry) is the source of this 3287-nucleotide RNA transcript. It is a transcript of the gene named beta-glucosidase 12-like, with no coding region annotated. The transcript has 4 exons. Lineage: Eukaryota; Viridiplantae; Streptophyta; Magnoliopsida; Solanales; Solanaceae. The record is from RefSeq and is a predicted model, not a curated record.